This 73-nucleotide transfer RNA is filed under the name Phycisphaerales bacterium. RNAcentral's name for it is "tRNA-Pro". It matches the Rfam family "tRNA". From Rfam's summary of the family: Transfer RNA (tRNA) molecules are approximately 80 nucleotides in length. Their secondary structure includes four short double-helical elements and three loops (D, anti-codon, and T loops). Lineage: Bacteria; Pseudomonadati; Planctomycetota; Phycisphaerae; Phycisphaerales. The record is from RNAcentral.
CGGGGUGUGGCGUAGCAAAUGUCGCGUCUCGUUCGGGACGAGAAGGUGGGAGGUUCAAAUUCUCUCACCCCGA